UAGGGAAUCUUCCACAAUGGACGAAAGUCUGAUGGAGCAACGUCGCGUGAGUGAAGAAGGUUUUCGGAUCGUAAAGCUCUGUUGUUGGUGAAGAAGGAUAGAGGCAGUAACUGGUCUUUAUUUGACGGUAAUCAACCAGAAAGUCACGGCUAACUACGUGCCAG
This 164-nucleotide ribosomal RNA is filed under the name uncultured bacterium. RNAcentral's name for it is "partial 16S rRNA". It matches the Rfam family "Bacterial small subunit ribosomal RNA", at positions 355 to 511 of the family's 1533-position model. The record is from RNAcentral.